AGCGGGGGAUAACUAUUGGAAACGAUAGCUAAUACCGCAUAACAAUGGGUGACACAUGUCAUUUAUUUGAAAGGGGCAAUUGCUCCACUACAAGAUGGACCUGCGUUGUAUUAGCUAGUAGGUGAGGUAACGGCUCACCUAGGCGACGAUACAUAGCCGACCUGAGAGGGUGAUCGGCCACACUGGGACUGAGACACGGCCCAGACUCCUACGGGAGGCAGCAGUAGGGAAUCUUCGGCAAUGGGGGCAACCCUGACCGAGCAACGCCGCGUGAGUGAAGAAGGUUUUCGGAUCGUAAAGCUCUGUUGUAAGUCAAGAACGAGUGUGAGAGUGGAAAGUUCACACUGUGACGGUAGCUUACCAGAAAGGGACGGCUAACUACGUGCCAGCAGCCGCGGUAAUACGUAGGUCCCGAGCGUUGUCCGGAUUUAUUGGGCGUAAAGCGAGCGCAGGCGGUUUGAUAAGUCUGAAGUUAAAGGCUGUGGCUCAACCAUAGUUCGCUUUGGAAACUGUCAAACUUGAGUGCAGAAGGGGAGAGUGGAAUUCCAUGUGUAGCGGUGAAAUGCGUAGAUAUAUGGAGGAACACCGGUGGCGAAAGCGGCUCUCUGGCUUGUAACUGACGCUGAGGCUCGAAAGCGUGGGGAGCGAACAGGAUUAGAUACCCUGGUAGUCCACGCCGUAAACGAUGAGUGCUAGGUGUUGGAUCCUUUCCGGGAUUCAGUGCCGCAGCUAACGCAUUAAGCACUCCGCCUGGGGAGUACGACCGCAAGGUUGAAACUCAAAGGAAUUGAC
Molecule: ribosomal RNA, 792 nt
Filed under: human gut metagenome
Description: bacterial SSU rRNA
Rfam family: Bacterial small subunit ribosomal RNA
Source: RNAcentral